RNAcentral lists this ribosomal RNA (638 nucleotides) under uncultured Actinomycetes bacterium. Its description in RNAcentral is "bacterial SSU rRNA". It matches the Rfam family "Bacterial small subunit ribosomal RNA", at positions 232 to 885 of the family's 1533-position model. The record is from RNAcentral. Lineage: Bacteria; Bacillati; Actinomycetota; Actinomycetes.
CGCGGCCUAUCAGCUUGUUGGGGGGGUAAUGGCUCACCAAGGCAUCGACGGGUAGCUGGUCUGAGAGGAUGAUCAGCCACACUGGGACUGAGACACGGCCCAGACUCCUACGGGAGGCAGCAGUGGGGAAUCUUGCACAAUGGGCGCAAGCCUGAUGCAGCAACGCCGCGUGCGGGAAGAAGGCCUUAGGGUUGUAAACCGCUUUCAGUAGGGAAGAAAAUGACGGUACCUACAGAAGAAGGUGCGGCCAACUACGUGCCAGCAGCCGCGGUAACACGUUGGCACCAAGCGUUAUCCGGAUUUAUUGGGCGUAAAGGGCUCGUAGGCGGUUCAGUCAGUCGGGUGUGAAAACUUGAGGCUUAACCUCAAGAGGUCACUCGAUACUACUGUGACUAGAGUGCGGUAGGGGAGCGGGGAAUUCCUGGUGUAGCGGUGAAAUGCGCAGAUAUCAGGAGGAACACCAGUGGCGAAGGCGCCGCUCUGGGCCGUAACUGACGCUGAGGAGCGAAGGCAUGGGUAGCAAACAGGAUUAGAUACCCUGGUAGUCCAUGCCGUAAACGUUGGGCACUAGGUGUGGGUCUCAACCAACGAGAUCCGCGCCGUCGCUAACGCAUUAAGUGCCCCGCCUGGGAGUACGG